AUUGAACGCUGGCGGCAGGCCUAACACAUGCAAGUCGGACGGUAGCACAGGGGAGCUUGCUCCUCGGGUGACGAGUGGCGGACGGGUGAGUAAUGUCUGGGGAUCUGCCCGAUAGAGGGGGAUAACCACUGGAAACGGUGGCUAAUACCGCAUAAUGUCGCAAGACCAAAGAGGGGGACCUUCGGGCCUCUCACUAUCGGAUGAACCCAGAUGGGAUUAGCUAGUAGGCGGGGUAACGGCCCACCUAGGCGACGAUCCCUAGCUGGUCUGAGAGGAUGGCCAGCCACACUGGAACUGAGACACGGUCCAGACUCCUACGGGAGGCAGCAGGGGGAAUAUUGCACAAUGGGCGCAAGCCUGAUGCAGCCAUGCCGCGUGUAUGAAGAAGGCCUUCGGGUUGUAAAGUACUUUCAGCGGGGAGGAAGGCGAUGUGGUUAAUAACCGCGUCGAUUGACGUUACCCGCAGAAGAAGCACCGGCUAACUCCGUGCCAGCCGCCGCGGUAA
RNAcentral lists this ribosomal RNA (505 nucleotides) under uncultured bacterium. RNAcentral's name for it is "partial 16S ribosomal RNA". It matches the Rfam family "Bacterial small subunit ribosomal RNA", at positions 29 to 523 of the family's 1533-position model. The record is from RNAcentral.